GACGAACGCUGGCGGCGUGCUUAACACAUGCAAGUCGAACGGAAAGGCCCUGCUUGCAGGGUACUCGAGUGGCGAACGGGUGAGUAACACGUGGGUGAUCUGCCCUGCACUUCGGGAUAAGCUUGGGAAACUGGGUCUAAUACCGGAUAGGACCGCACUUUAGUGUGUGUGGUGGAAAGUUUUUUCGGUGUAGGAUGAGCUCGCGGCCUAUCAGCUUGUUGGUGGGGUAAUGGCCUACCAAGGCGGCGACGGGUAGCCGGCCUGAGAGGGUGUACGGCCACAUUGAGACUAAGAUACGGCCCAGACGCGUACGGGAGGCAGCGGUGGGGAAUAUUGCACAAUGGGCGCAAGCCUGGUGCAGCGGCGCCGCGUGGGGGAUGAAGGACUUCGGGUUGUAGACUCCUUUCGCUAGGGACGAAGCUUUUUGUGACGGUACCUAGAGAAGAAGCACCGGCUAACUACGUG
RNAcentral lists this ribosomal RNA (465 nucleotides) under uncultured bacterium. RNAcentral's name for it is "partial 16S ribosomal RNA". It matches the Rfam family "Bacterial small subunit ribosomal RNA", at positions 28 to 507 of the family's 1533-position model. The record is from RNAcentral.